Molecule: ribosomal RNA, 2903 nt
Filed under: Escherichia albertii
Lineage: Bacteria; Pseudomonadati; Pseudomonadota; Gammaproteobacteria; Enterobacterales; Enterobacteriaceae
Description: 23S ribosomal RNA
Rfam family: Bacterial large subunit ribosomal RNA
Source: RNAcentral
GGUUAAGCGACUAAGCGUACACGGUGGAUGCCCUGGCAGUCAGAGGCGAUGAAGGACGUGCUAAUCUGCGAAAAGCGUCGGUAAGGUGAUAUGAACCGUUAUAACCGGCGAUGUCCGAAUGGGGAAACCCAGUGUGUUCCGACACACUAUCAUUAACUGAAUCCAUAGGUUAAUGAGGCGAACCGGGGGAACUGAAACAUCUAAGUACCCCGAGGAAAAGAAAUCAACCGAGAUUCCCCCAGUAGCGGCGAGCGAACGGGGAGGAGCCCAGAGCCUGAAUCAGUGUGUGUGUUAGUGGAAGCGUCUGGAAAGGCGCGCGAUACAGGGUGACAGCCCCGUACACAAAAAUGCACAUGCUGUGAGCUCGAUGAGUAGGGCGGGACACGUGGUAUCCUGUCUGAAUAUGGGGGGACCAUCCUCCAAGGCUAAAUACUCCUGACUGACCGAUAGUGAACCAGUACCGUGAGGGAAAGGCGAAAAGAACCCCGGCGAGGGGAGUGAAAAAGAACCUGAAACCGUGUACGUACAAGCAGUGGGAGCCUCUUAAUGGGGUGACUGCGUACCUUUUGUAUAAUGGGUCAGCGACUUAUAUUCUGUAGCAAGGUUAACCGAAUAGGGGAGCCGGAGGGAAACCGAGUCUUAACUGGGCGUUAAGUUGCAGGGUAUAGACCCGAAACCCGGUGAUCUAGCCAUGGGCAGGUUGAAGGUUGGGUAACACUAACUGGAGGACCGAACCGACUAAUGUUGAAAAAUUAGCGGAUGACUUGUGGCUGGGGGUGAAAGGCCAAUCAAACCGGGAGAUAGCUGGUUCUCCCCGAAAGCUAUUUAGGUAGCGCCUCGUGAAUUCAUCUCCGGGGGUAGAGCACUGUUUCGGCAAGGGGGUCAUCCCGACUUACCAACCCGAUGCAAACUGCGAAUACCGGAGAAUGUUAUCACGGGAGACACACGGCGGGUGCUAACGUCCGUCGUGAAGAGGGAAACAACCCAGACCGCCAGCUAAGGUCCCAAAGUCAUGGUUAAGUGGGAAACGAUGUGGGAAGGCCCAGACAGCCAGGAUGUUGGCUUAGAAGCAGCCAUCAUUUAAAGAAAGCGUAAUAGCUCACUGGUCGAGUCGGCCUGCGCGGAAGAUGUAACGGGGCUAAACCAUGCACCGAAGCUGCGGCAGCGACGCUGAUGCGUUGUUGGGUAGGGGAGCGUUCUGUAAGCCUGUGAAGGUGUGCUGUGAGGCAUGCUGGAGGUAUCAGAAGUGCGAAUGCUGACAUAAGUAACGAUAAAGCGGGUGAAAAGCCCGCUCGCCGGAAGACCAAGGGUUCCUGUCCAACGUUAAUCGGGGCAGGGUGAGUCGACCCCUAAGGCGAGGCCGAAAGGCGUAGUCGAUGGGAAACAGGUUAAUAUUCCUGUACUUGGUGUUACUGCGAAGGGGGGACGGAGAAGGCUAUGUUGGCCGGGCGACGGUUGUCCCGGUUUAAGCGUGUAGGCUGGUUUUCCAGGCAAAUCCGGAGAAUCAAGGCUGAGGCGUGAUGACGAGGCACUACGGUGCUGAAGCAACAAAUGCCCUGCUUCCAGGAAAAGCCUCUAAGCAUCAGGUAGCAUCAAAUCGUACCCCAAACCGACACAGGUGGUCAGGUAGAGAAUACCAAGGCGCUUGAGAGAACUCGGGUGAAGGAACUAGGCAAAAUGGUGCCGUAACUUCGGGAGAAGGCACGCUGAUAUGUAGGUGAAGCGACUUGCUCGUGGAGCUGAAAUCAGUCGAAGAUACCAGCUGGCUGCAACUGUUUAUUAAAAACACAGCACUGUGCAAACACGAAAGUGGACGUAUACGGUGUGACGCCUGCCCGGUGCCGGAAGGUUAAUUGAUGGGGUCAGCGCAAGCGAAGCUCUUGAUCGAAGCCCCGGUAAACGGCGGCCGUAACUAUAACGGUCCUAAGGUAGCGAAAUUCCUUGUCGGGUAAGUUCCGACCUGCACGAAUGGCGUAAUGAUGGCCAGGCUGUCUCCACCCGAGACUCAGUGAAAUUGAACUCGCUGUGAAGAUGCAGUGUACCCGCGGCAAGACGGAAAGACCCCGUGAACCUUUACUAUAGCUUGACACUGAACACUGGUCCUUGAUGUGUAGGAUAGGUGGGAGGCUUUGAAGUGUGGACGCCAGUCUGCAUGGAGCCGUCCUUGAAAUACCACCCUUUAAUGGCUGGUGUUCUAACGUUGGCCCCUUACCGGGGUUGCGGACAGUGUCUGGUGGGUAGUUUGACUGGGGCGGUCUCCUCCUAAAGAGUAACGGAGGAGCACGAAGGUUGGCUAAUCCUGGUCGGACAUCAGGAGGUUAGUGCAAUGGCAUAAGCCAGCUUGACUGCGAGCGUGACGGCGCGAGCAGGUGCGAAAGCAGGUCAUAGUGAUCCGGUGGUUCUGAAUGGAAGGGCCAUCGCUCAACGGAUAAAAGGUACUCCGGGGAUAACAGGCUGAUACCGCCCAAGAGUUCAUAUCGACGGCGGUGUUUGGCACCUCGAUGUCGGCUCAUCACAUCCUGGGGCUGAAGUAGGUCCCAAGGGUAUGGCUGUUCGCCAUUUAAAGUGGUACGCGAGCUGGGUUUAGAACGUCGUGAGACAGUUCGGUCCCUAUCUGCCGUGGGCGCUGGAGAACUGAGGGGGGCUGCUCCUAGUACGAGAGGACCGGAGUGGACGCAUCACUGGUGUUCGGGUUGUCAUGCCAAUGGCACUGCCCGGUAGCUAAAUGCGGAAGAGAUAAGUGCUGAAAGCAUCUAAGCACGAAACUUGCCCCGAGAUGAGUUCUCCCUGAGACAUUAAGUCUCCUGAAGGAACGUUGAAGACGACGACGUUGAUAGGCCGGGUGUGUAAGCGCAGCGAUGCGUUGAGCUAACCGGUACUAAUGAACCGUGAGGCUUAACCUU